Molecule: ribosomal RNA, 55 nt
Filed under: ascomycete sp. ZGZII04159
Lineage: Eukaryota; Fungi; Ascomycota
Description: partial 28S ribosomal RNA
Source: RNAcentral
UUGACCUCGGAUCAGGUAGGGAUACCCGCUGAACUUAAGCAUAUCAAUAAGGGGG